This 107-nucleotide ribosomal RNA is filed under the name Salmonella enterica. Lineage: Bacteria; Pseudomonadati; Pseudomonadota; Gammaproteobacteria; Enterobacterales; Enterobacteriaceae. The record is from RNAcentral.
CGUAGCGCGGUGGUCCCACCUGACCCCAUGCCGAACUCAGAAGUGAAACGCCGUAGCGCCGAUGGUAGUGUGGGGUCUCCCCAUGCGAGAGUAGGAAACUGCCAGGC